This 473-nucleotide ribosomal RNA is filed under the name uncultured bacterium. RNAcentral describes it as "bacterial SSU rRNA". It matches the Rfam family "Bacterial small subunit ribosomal RNA", at positions 355 to 825 of the family's 1533-position model. The record is from RNAcentral.
UGGGGAAUUUUGGACAAUGGGGGCAACCCUGAUCCAGCCAUUCCGCGUGAGUGAAGAAGGCCUUCGGGUUGUAAAGCUCUUUCAGCAGGAACGAAACGGUCGGCUUUAAUAAAGUCGGCUAAUGACGGUACCUGCAGAAGAAGCACCGGCUAACUACGUGCCAGCAGCCGCGGUAAUACGUAGGGUGCGAGCGUUAAUCGGAAUUACUGGGCGUAAAGCGUGCGCAGGCGGCGACAUAAGACAGAUGUGAAAUCCCCGGGCUCAACCUGGGGAACUGCGUUUGUGACUGUGUUGCUAGAGUGUAGCAGAGGGGGGUGGAAUUCCACGUGUAGCAGUGAAAUGCGUAGAGAUGCGGAGGAACACCGAUGGCGAAGGCAGCCCCCUGGGUUAACACUGACGCUCAUGCACGAAAGCGUGGGGAGCAAACAGGAUUAGAUACCCCCGUAGUCCCUGAGCGGGCUGGCAAGGCGCAU